This 253-nucleotide ribosomal RNA is filed under the name uncultured bacterium. RNAcentral describes it as "partial 16S ribosomal RNA". It matches the Rfam family "Bacterial small subunit ribosomal RNA", at positions 524 to 776 of the family's 1533-position model. The record is from RNAcentral.
UACAGAGGUCUCAAGCGUUGUUCGGAUUCAUUGGGCGUAAAGGGUGCGUAGGCGGCGCGGUAAGUCGGGUGUGAAAUCUCGGAGCUUAACUCCGAAACUGCAUUCGAUACUGCCGUGCUUGAGGACUGGAGAGGAGACUGGAAUUUACGGUGUAGCGGUGAAAUGCGUAGAUAUCGGGAAGAACACCCGUGGCGAAGGCGGUUCUCUGGGACGGUACUGACGCUGAGACGCGAAAGCGUGGGGAGCGAACAGG